GACGUACAUAAAUUUUUUUUAUUCGUUUAUCUUAAUGCCAAAAUCUAUUAGAUGCGACCAUAUCGUGUGGUUCCGUGUCUAUAAAUUUUUCAUGAUUUGACCUCAAAUCANGUAGGAACACCCGCUGAACUUAAGCAUAUCAAUAAGCGGAGGAAAAGAAAAUAACAAUGAUUCCCCUAGUAACUGCGAGUGAAGAGGGACAAGCUCAAAUUUUAAAUCUAUCGGGUUUUACCUGAUCGAGUUGUAAUUUGAAGAAGCGUUUUCUGCGUAUUUGGUCAGCCUAAGUACUAUUGAAUGAGGCAUCAUGGAGGGUGAUAAUCCCGUCCGGUUGAUCAUUUGCGUUUUACGAUACGCUUUCUAAGAGUCAAGUUGUUUGGGAUUGCAGCUUAAAAUGGGAGGUAAAUUUCUCCUAAGGCUAAAUAACGGCGAGAGACCGAUAGCGAACAAGUACCGUGAGGGAAAGAUGAAAAGAACUUUGAAAAGAGAGUUAAACAGUACGUGAAAUUGUUGAAAGGGAAACGAUUGAAGCCAGUCGUACCUUCGGGUAAUCAGCCUUUCGGGUGCGAUUCUGUGGAGUGUGAGGAGCUUAAACACCUUCAUGUUUUGCAUAUUCGUACUCUUGGGUGUACUUGCCCGUGUGGUUGGUUAACAUCAAUUUUGGUGGUCAUAAAAUGACUGGGGGAAUGUAGCUUCGAUCUUGUAUUGAAGUGUUAUAGCCUUCGGUAGAUGUGAUGAUCGAGAUUGAGGAUUGCAACGGAUACCCUUCGGGGCUACCUGUCUGGUCUCUGAUCGUUGCUCUGGUGCCGAAAGCUUG
RNAcentral lists this ribosomal RNA (814 nucleotides) under Rhizophagus cf. irregularis MUCL 46241. RNAcentral describes it as "eukaryotic LSU rRNA". The stretch from base 98 to 814 matches the Rfam family "Eukaryotic large subunit ribosomal RNA", at positions 1 to 634 of the family's 3401-position model. The record is from RNAcentral. Lineage: Eukaryota; Fungi; Glomeromycota; Glomeromycetes; Glomerales; Glomeraceae.